AACGAACGCUGGCGGCGCGCCUAACACAUGCAAGUCGAACGAGAAUCCGGGGCAACCCGGUAGUAAAGUGGCAAACGGGUGAGGAAUACAUGGGUAACCUACCCUUGAGAAGGGAAUAACCCGCCGAAAGGUGAGCUAAUACCCUAUACGCUAUCUUUUUUUCGAAAAGGAUAGGAAAGCCGGGUCGAGGACCUGGUACUCAAGGAGGGGCUCAUGUCCUAUCAGCUUGUUGGUGGGGUAACGGCCUACCAAGGCUACGACGGGUAGCUGGUCUGAGAGGAUGAUCAGCCACACCGGCACUGAGAUACGGGCCAGACUCCUACGGGAGGCAGCAGUGAGGAAUAUUGCACAAUGGGGGAAACCCUGAUGCAGCCAUGCCGCGUGUGUGAAGAAGGCCUUAGGGUUGUAAAGCACUUUCAGUGGGGAGGAAAGGGUGGAAGCUAAUACCUUUCAUCUGUGACGUUACCCACAGAAGAAGCACCGGCUAACUCCGUGCCAGCAGCCGCGG
This 508-nucleotide ribosomal RNA is filed under the name uncultured bacterium. RNAcentral describes it as "bacterial SSU rRNA". It matches the Rfam family "Bacterial small subunit ribosomal RNA", at positions 29 to 520 of the family's 1533-position model. The record is from RNAcentral.